GCGAACGGGGUAGGAAUACCUCGGUGACGUACCCCCAGGUCGGGGAUAGCGGCGGGAAACUGCCGGUAAUACCCGAUGACCUUCCCUGAUUUUAGCUUGAGGGAAGCAAAGGUGUGAUUCCGUCUGGGGAGCGGCUGAGGUCGUAUUAGCUAGUUGGUGAGGUAAUGGCUUACCAAGGCGAUGAUGCGUAGGGGGUGUGAGAGCAUGGCCCCCACCACUGGCACUGAGACACUGGCCAGACACCUACGGGUGGCUGCAGUCGAGAAUCUUCGGCAAUGGGCGCAAGCCUGACCGAGCGACGCCGCGUGCGGGAUGAAGGUCUUCGGAUUGUAAACCGCUGUCGGAGGGGAUGAAGUGUCGAUGGGUACUCCCAUCGAUUUGACAGAGCCUCGGAGGAAGCACGGGCUAAGUUCGUGCCAGCAGCCGCGGUAAUACGAACUGUGCGAACGUUAUUCGGAAUCACUGGGCUUAAAGGGUGCGUAGGCGGCGAUUCAAGUCAGGUGUGAAAUCCCCCGGCUCAACCGGGGAACUGCGCUUGAAACUGGAUUGCUCGAGUGAGGCAGGGGUGUAUGGAACUUCCGGUGGAGCGGUGAAAUGUGUAGAUAUCGGAAGGAACGCCGGCGGCGAAAGCGGUACACUGGGCCUUGUCUGACGCUGAGGCACGAAAGCUAGGGGAGUGAACGGGAUUAGAUACCCCGGU
This 700-nucleotide ribosomal RNA is filed under the name uncultured bacterium. RNAcentral describes it as "bacterial SSU rRNA". It matches the Rfam family "Bacterial small subunit ribosomal RNA", at positions 98 to 791 of the family's 1533-position model. The record is from RNAcentral.